GGAAUCUUGCGCAAUGGGCGAAAGCCUGACGCAGCAACGCCGCGUGGGGGAUGAAGGCUCUCGGGUUGUAAACCCCUUUCAGGAGGGACGAAAAUGACGGUACCUCCAGACGAAGCCCCGGCCAACUACGUGCCAGCAGCCGCGGUAACACGGAGGGGGCGAGCGUUGUCCGGAUUUAUUGGGCGUAAAGAGCUCGUAGGCGGUUUGACAAGUCGGGUGUGAAAUUUCGAGGCUCAACCUCGAAACGCCACUCGAUACUGUCAUGACUGGAGUCCGGUAGAGGAGUGUGGAAUUCCUGGUGUAGCGGUGAAAUGCGCAGAUAUCAGGAGGAACACCAGCGGCGAAGGCAGCACUCUGGGCCGGUACUGACGCUGAGGAGCGAAAGCAUGGGGAGCAAA
RNAcentral lists this ribosomal RNA (398 nucleotides) under uncultured bacterium. RNAcentral's name for it is "bacterial SSU rRNA". It matches the Rfam family "Bacterial small subunit ribosomal RNA", at positions 358 to 772 of the family's 1533-position model. The record is from RNAcentral.